CUACUUUCCAAUUAAUGCAUUUAUGGAAACUAUUAAUAACUGAUAACAAGAUUGUAACCGUGUAUUUAAUAGCAGAAAACGCACAUAUAUUAAAUGAUUGUGCUGCCAGUCAGUAGCCAGAGUCCGUCUGUCCUGUUAUUACCAGCAUGAAUUGCAUUCAUCUGAGAGAUGUGUGAUUGAGAGUGAGGAGUUCA
Long non-coding RNA from Mya arenaria, 194 nucleotides. RefSeq lists it as uncharacterized. The record is from RefSeq and is a predicted model, not a curated record. Lineage: Eukaryota; Metazoa; Mollusca; Bivalvia; Myida; Myidae. The transcript is spliced from 3 exons.